Molecule: non-coding RNA, 121 nt
Filed under: Syntrophaceticus schinkii
Lineage: Bacteria; Bacillati; Bacillota; Clostridia; Thermoanaerobacterales; Thermoanaerobacterales Family III. Incertae Sedis
Description: MoCo sequence
Rfam family: Molybdenum/Tungsten riboswitch aptamer (Moco RNA motif)
Source: Rfam by way of RNAcentral
GCUGGAUAGGCACUCCGAGCAUUCACACCUAAACUUUGGAUAAGCAGUGGUGUGUUGCCGAUAGGGUGUAGUGGGAAACUGCUGCACCUCCCGUUUGGAAAGGAGUGGGUUUUGAAAUGAA